UGUGGGCUAGCUCAACUGGCAGAGCGCCUGACUCUGAAUCAGGAGGUUGUAGGUUCGAGCCCUACGCCCACAG
RNAcentral lists this transfer RNA (73 nucleotides) under Chloroflexota bacterium. Its description in RNAcentral is "Chloroflexi bacterium (anaerobic digester metagenome) tRNA-Gln". It matches the Rfam family "tRNA". Rfam says of the family: Transfer RNA (tRNA) molecules are approximately 80 nucleotides in length. Their secondary structure includes four short double-helical elements and three loops (D, anti-codon, and T loops). RNAcentral also lists the same sequence under 1 other name. The record is from RNAcentral. Lineage: Bacteria; Bacillati; Chloroflexota.